This 465-nucleotide ribosomal RNA is filed under the name uncultured bacterium. RNAcentral's name for it is "partial 16S ribosomal RNA". It matches the Rfam family "Bacterial small subunit ribosomal RNA", at positions 28 to 507 of the family's 1533-position model. The record is from RNAcentral.
GACGAACGCUGGCGGCGUGCUUAACACAUGCAAGUCGAACGGAAAGGCCCUGCUUGCCGGGUACUCGAGUGGCGAACGGGUGAGUAACACGUGGGUGAUCUGCCCUGCACUUCGGGAUAAGCCUGGGAAACUGGGUCUAAUACCGGAUAGGAGCCAUUUUUAGUGUGAUGGUUGGAAAGUUUUUUCGGUGUAGGAUGAGCUCGCGGCCUAUCAGCUUGUUGGUGGGGUAAUGGCCUACCAAGGCGGCGACGGGUAGCCGGCCUGAGAGGGUGGACGGCCACAUUGGGACUGAGAGACGGCCCAGACGCCUACGGGAGGCAGCAGUGGGGAAGAUUGCACAAGGGGCGCAAGCCUGAUGCAGCGACGCCGCGUGGGGGAUGACGGCCUUCGGGUUGUAAACGCCUUUCGCUAGGGACGAAGCUUGUUGUGACGGUACCUAGAGAAGAAGCACCGGCUAACUACGUG